This is a long non-coding RNA of Rhincodon typus (whale shark), 1018 nucleotides long. RefSeq lists it as uncharacterized. The record is from RefSeq and is a predicted model, not a curated record. The transcript is spliced from 3 exons. Lineage: Eukaryota; Metazoa; Chordata; Chondrichthyes; Orectolobiformes; Rhincodontidae.
GUGGCAAUGUCCCUAUCCUCAGACCAGGAGGCUGAUGUUCAAGUCUCACUUUCUCCAGAGGAGAUAGAGGUUCUGAACUGAGAGCGGGAAACGUCUACAUUCAGAUCCAGAUCCAGAUCCUUCUGUGACUGUCUUCUUGUCGAUUGUAAGAAAAUGGAUUGGUUAAUGGAGGUCCCUAUAGUAGUAAUCUUCAGUGUGUUUGGAUUAAUAACUAAUCUUUUCAUCCUGAUGACUCUGAGACUGCAACUAAAACAAGGUGGCCCACAUCCAACAGAAUACAUUGUCUCCAGCCUCGCCAUUGCUAAUAUCAUUACCAUUAUAGUCUCUGUGUCCAGAAUGGCAGUUGCAUCAUUUCAUAUAUACUGUGAGAUCCAGCAAAAGGUCAUUAAUACUCUUCUCUCUUUAUUACAUUCCAUGAGUUUCUGGAUGAGUAGCUUUCUCUGUUUAUUUUACUGUUUGAAAAUCAUCAGUAUCCACUGGCCCACUGCUAUCAAAUUGGUGCAGAUCAUCACCGCAAGAACCGGCCUGCUCCUUGGGUUGGUUUUUGCCAUGAGCUUCAGCCUUGGAGCACUGGCUGGUUACCUGAUUAAUGCAAGUCCUACCUGCUAUUAUGAGAAUGGAACAUACUAUUUCAAUGCAAUUAAUGAAUCACUAUCAGAACACAAUGAUGUGGUAAUUCAAAUCCUGAAUACUUAUAUUGAUCUUAUCUUGGGAUCUAUACUUCCUGCAAUCUGUAUGUCCACUAGCUCUUUCUGGAUUGUCUUUGUGCUCUGUAAACACAGGAGAAUUUCUCACAACCUUGCCACAAGUGUGAAUCAUCAGAAACACAAUCGACACAAGCGUAUAAUGUCGAUGAUCAUUUGUCUUUAUCUUUUAUUUCAUUUCAUUCUCUUCACAAGAAUUAUAGUUCUAACUUGUGUAAUUCUGAGUUCUUCCAGGUGCUUCAUUGCUCUGUGGGAUUUGAUUCGUUUUACUUAUUUUUAUGCAGCCUUUGCCUACGCUAUCGGGAAUCCAAUGA